GUGUUGUAUGAAAGGAGAGAGGUUAGCACUCCCCGUGACAAGGAUGGAAGAGGCCACGCAGCCUGCACAACACACACAUGGUUAAGUCAUCGCCACUUACUUUGUGGCUUUUCUUGCUAAGUGUUCUU
Small nuclear RNA from Bufo bufo (common toad), 128 nucleotides. Lineage: Eukaryota; Metazoa; Chordata; Amphibia; Anura; Bufonidae. The record is from RefSeq and is a predicted model, not a curated record.